Molecule: long non-coding RNA, 290 nt
Filed under: Elaeis guineensis (African oil palm)
Lineage: Eukaryota; Viridiplantae; Streptophyta; Magnoliopsida; Arecales; Arecaceae
Description: long non-coding RNA (EGUI_LNC067275)
Source: RNAcentral
AUAUUUAUAUUUAUAUAUUUUAAUUUUUGAUUUAAUAUCAUGUAAUAAUCAUAUAAUAGGAUCUUAGAUCUAGGGAUUCUCUGAUUUUAGAAAAUAAAUUUUGAUUUAUUUUAGUCUUCCGCUGUAUGAUCUUGAAAAAGUUUCAAGAUCUAACCCUGAAACCCUAGAUCUGGUUCCUACACGAGACACUUAUCAGAAGUGGCUCAACGACCGCACCACCAUACGGUGCAUAAUGCUGGCGGCAAUGAAUGAUGAGUUCAGCCAUAGGUUCAAGAACGUCCAGCCGCAGG